GAUGAACGCUGGCGGCGUGCUUAACACAUGCAAGUCGAACGAAGCACUGAAAGCGGAUCACUUCGGUAAGAAGCUUUCUUUGACUGAGUGGCGGACGGGUGAGUAACGCGUGGGUAACCUGCCUCAUACAGGGGGAUAACAGUUAGAAAUGACUGCUAAUACCGCAUAAGCGCACGGAACCGCAUGGUUUUGUGUGAAAAACUCCGGUGGUAUGAGAUGGACCCGCGUCUGAGUAGCUGGUUGGCGGGGUAACGGCCCACCAAGGCGACGAUCAGUAGCCGGCCUGAGAGGGUGAACGGCCACAUUGGGACUGAGACACGGCCCAA
Molecule: ribosomal RNA, 326 nt
Filed under: uncultured bacterium
Lineage: Bacteria
Description: bacterial SSU rRNA
Rfam family: Bacterial small subunit ribosomal RNA
Source: RNAcentral